GUAGUCAUAUGCUUGUCUCAAAGAUUAAGCCAUGCAUGUCUAAGUAUAAGCAAUUAUACAGCGAAACUGCGAAUGGCUCAUUAUAUAAGUUAUCGUUUAUCUGAUAGUGCCUGUCCUACUGGGAUAACCGUGGUAAUUCUAGAGCUAAUACCUGCUGAAAGUCCCGACUUCGAAAGGGAUGUAUUUAUUAGAUUCAAAGCCAAUGCCCUUCGGGGCUUCUUGGUGAUUCAUGAUAACUUCACGGAUCGCACGGCCCUGCGCCGGCGAUGGUUCAUUCAAAUUUCUUCCCUAUCAACUUUCGAUGUUUGGGUCUUGGCCAAACAUGGUUGCAACGGGUAACGGAGGGUUAGGGCUCGACCCCGGAGAAGGAGCCUGAGGAACGGCUACUACAUCCAAGGAAGGCAGCAGGCGCGCAAAUUACCCAAUCCCGAUUCGGGGAGGUAGUGACAAUAAAUACUGAUACAGGGCUCUUUAGGGUCCUGUAAUUGGAAUGAGUACAAUUUACAUCCCUUAACGAGGAACAAUUGGAGGGCAAGUCUGGUGCCAGCAGCC
Molecule: ribosomal RNA, 552 nt
Filed under: uncultured eukaryote
Lineage: Eukaryota
Description: SSU rRNA
Rfam family: Eukaryotic small subunit ribosomal RNA
Source: RNAcentral